GGUAGGGCGGCCGAGGUAAGCGCUGGGUUGUAAACCCAAGAACAGGGGUUGAAGUCCCCUUCCUACCA
Molecule: transfer RNA, 68 nt
Filed under: Lampris guttatus (North Atlantic opah)
Lineage: Eukaryota; Metazoa; Chordata; Actinopteri; Lampriformes; Lampridae
Description: tRNA-Tyr
Rfam family: tRNA
About the family: Transfer RNA (tRNA) molecules are approximately 80 nucleotides in length. Their secondary structure includes four short double-helical elements and three loops (D, anti-codon, and T loops).
Source: RNAcentral